Long non-coding RNA from Molossus molossus (Pallas's mastiff bat), 1144 nucleotides. RefSeq lists it as uncharacterized. NCBI's taxonomy places the organism in Eukaryota, Metazoa, Chordata, Mammalia, Chiroptera, Molossidae. The transcript has 5 exons. The record is from RefSeq and is a predicted model, not a curated record.
UCAGAAGAGACAGUUGUUUUUGCAAGCUUAUUUCUUAUUUUACUUAUGAGGAUCAUUUUUUAAUUGCAGAACUGGAAUCGCAGUCCUGAGAUCCCUUCACCAGGUAUCACAGAUCCUAAGAUGACAUCUUCACCUUCUCUCAAGGCUGCUUUGAACUUACGAUGUCAACGCUGCGCACAUCACAGAGCUCCUGUAGGUGGUAGAACGUUAGAAAUCACGUCGUUCAGUUGAGAAGGCACGAGAGAGAAGGCGUCAGAACAAGGGUCAACACAGUGAAAUGAGGAACAGUCCAGGGCCCCAGCACGAACAGCAAGAAAAGCGUAGAAAUGGUACCACGCAGCCCAGAGACUCAGAAUACUCCAUCUCUCUUGGCAUGGAACUGCUCCGACCUGCACGGUUCUGAAAUAACAGGAAAUACUUCUCCCGUAACCGCACUGCAUUUUAGAGAUCGCAAAUGUGACAGACAGGCACUCCCGGCAUGAGUCAGCAUUAUCUAGCAGGAGGGUUGUUGACACCUGCUCUUCGUUAGCAGAUCCUCUAGAACUGUCAGGAUAAUGUGCAGAAUGAGAUUUACGAAGAAGUUGGGAAGAACUAUACCUAGGUCUGAAGACGUCUUAUAACUGAAGGUUUGCCUGGUGAAUUUAAGCCAUGGCACGAAGCUGACCACACCGCAUUCACUGGAUAACACCUUCGGAGAUUCAUUCUGCGGCUUAGGAACGAGAAGGUGUCUUCAUGUAAACGCUCUUCCGGCAUCACUAGGAAAAUUACACUGUGCCUUCAAUAAACCACCACGUCUGUUCUCUCCCUGAUGCAAUCUUGAUGUAAUGUUUAUUUAUAGAUUACUUACUUUAUUAACCAUGGAUGGUUUGCUUGACCUGAGAGGUGCACGAAGAUUCUGAUGAUGGUCAGGCCAGUUAGUGGAUGCCGACUAGGACAUUGCUAAUCAAAAGUUGGUCUGAAACAACAGAAUCACCUGGGAGAUUCUCAGACUUUCAGAAACUCAGGCCCAGUCACAGACCCAGCGAGUCAAAACUUGUGCUACAACAAGACCCCCAGGUGCAUCUUGAGGACAUCCAAGUCAGUGUCUGUUUCCACGAAGUUGGAAAUAUUAAGAAAAAGGCAAAGAAAGCGAACUCUAGUUAUG